This 460-nucleotide ribosomal RNA is filed under the name uncultured bacterium. RNAcentral describes it as "partial 16S ribosomal RNA". It matches the Rfam family "Bacterial small subunit ribosomal RNA", at positions 338 to 795 of the family's 1533-position model. The record is from RNAcentral.
CCUACGGGAGGCAGCAGUGAGGAAUAUUGGUCAAUGGACGAGAGUCUGAACCAGCCAAGUAGCGUGAAGGAUGACUGCCCUAUGGGUUGUAAACUUCUUUUAUAAAGGAAUAAAACGAGGCACGUGUGCCUUUUUGCAAGUACUUUAUGAAUAAGGAUCGGCUAAAUCCGUGCCAGCAGCCGCGGUAAUACGGAGGAUCCGAGCGUUAUCCGGAUUUAUUGGGUUUAAAGGUAGCGUAGAUGGGUUGUUAAGUCAGUUGUGAAAGUUUGCGGCUCAACCGUAAAAUUGCAAUUGAUACUGGUAGUCUUGAGUACAGUAGAGGUAGGCGGAAUUCGUGGUGUAGCGGUGAAAUGCUUAGAUAUCACGAAGAACCCCGAUUGCGAAGGCAGCUUACUAAACUGUGACUGACAUUGAUGCUCGAAAGUGUGGGUAUCAAACAGGAUUAGAUACCCCUGUAGUC